RNA transcript from Quercus lobata, 1965 nucleotides. RefSeq lists it as uncharacterized. The record is from RefSeq and is a predicted model, not a curated record. The transcript has 4 exons. NCBI's taxonomy places the organism in Eukaryota, Viridiplantae, Streptophyta, Magnoliopsida, Fagales, Fagaceae.
AAGUUUCAACCAUUCUAUUUCUACUUCUGUUUGCUUCUUAAUUCAGUUCUCUCUAGUGUCCGCCUCUUUUCCUUUCUUCUCUUUAUAGCUAAGCUCUCUACCCACUAUGGCUAUGAUAAAUCUCUUUAAGCAUCAAUCUUUACGCUAAUACCUCUCAUAGUCAAAUCAUUUUGUGAUCUGGGUCUUUUUUAAGUUCUCAUUCAGAUAUAUUUUCCAUCACUUUUUGGUCUCUGCUACUUCACAUUUGAAACCAUCAACAGAAACUAACCCACUUGUUUUUUGAGGUUUUAAUGGUUUAUUGAUAGGUAAUCAGAUUUUGAGAAGUGGGAUUUGUCUUUCAGAUGCAGAAAAUGGAUUUUUUAUGAGUGGUGUCCCAGGUUUGCAGUGGACUGGACUCUACUGAUGUUUGGCUUAAAUUGGCUGUCUUGAAAAGAAGUCCUUUUGAGUUGUUCAAAAUUCUCUUUGGGGAGUUUCUUUAUUAUGGGUAGAGGUAGAGGAAAGGGGAAGAAACAAAAUGCUGUUGCCUCUCGUGAGGAUCCUGGAAGCGGUGAAGAGGAAAAAAUUCCAGCAUACAGGAGAAGAGGAAGGCCUCAAAAACCAUUAAAGGAUGAAAUCGAAGAAGAAGAGGAGGAAGGAAACACUGACAAGAUAGUAGACGAUGGAGAGGAUGCAAAAGUUAAUAUUUCUAGAAAGGAUAUGAAAAAUCAGAAUACCAUAGAGAACGGACGGAAGAGGAAGAGGUCUGCUCAGGUCAAAGAAAAUAUCAGUUCAGUUGGAGGGGAGAAUGGCAUUGGAAAAAAGUCAAGUCCCGAUGAUUCAACAAAGUCAGUUGGAUUCCGACAAAAUGGAAGUAGGAGAAAAAACAAGCCCCGCCGGGCUGCUGAAGCUGGUGUUGAGUGCAAGUGAGCUUGGAUUGGCUAUUAUGAUGGUUCUUUACCUACCUUUCCAUUGCUGGAUAAAUCUUUUGUAUGGGGCAAGGCAUUGUUAACUUACGUAUGGUUUCCUGUAAUUCCUUUGCUAUAUGCUUAUUGUUUUUUGUAAUAUCUGAGUUCUAAUUCCUCUUAAUGGAUAUUUUUCAUUGUAAUGUUAUGGAACAGAUUACUGCCAGAAUUUUGCAUGGAGCUACCUCCUUUGAAAGAUAUUUUCUAGUUUUGUGCUAUGUGCCUUCUGUUAUGAGUGACAAGAAAAGUUUCUUUUCCCCGUGCCAACAAUUUUUUUCCUAACUAUGUUAAUAUGAAAUUAUACAAAAAUUGGCCAGAUGUGUAUAAUGAAUUAGCUCAUUUAAGGGAAGUCAACAAGUUGGUUAUAAUAUAACAGGGCUUGGGUUUUCACUAUAUGCUAAAUGCUGCAGCAGCAGCAAUAAGUGCUUUGAUGCAGGUUGGGGCUUGGAGAAUAAAACUGAAGGCUUGGAACUGGAAAUGAGAGGAGAAAUGUUGUGAGUUAACAAGGCAAACUGAAGCAUUGAUCAAAGAUGUGGCUCUUGUAAUGGACUGCUGUGACAUAAUCUUUGAUGCUAAACCAAAUAUGCUACAUCAGGCAUUGAUAAUGUCUUACAAAAUGUAGACAGAUACCUAUUCAGGGUGGACUCCUGUUGCUCAUUGAUGACACGGGAUCCUUGAAUACUCCCAACAAGUGGAAUGAGUGUCCAUUCAAGGAUGGUGACAAACGCACAUCUUGGAUGCUGAGGAGUGCAAAUAAGUUUAUGUACAUGCAGAGAGUGCAUAAACUGAGAUUGUGUGUGCACGCACACGUGUAAUACAAAAUACCCGAUUCCAAAUUUGGGCUGGUUCACCGCUUUUGGCUGAGUUUAUAGUAUGGAUUGUGCUUCUUAUGAUGAUCAAGAUCCGCUCUUUGGUUUAGGUUUGAUUUCAAAUAAACCAACUGAACCGGCUUGGACAUGUGAGUGAUAUAUCAAUUUCUCGUUUUACAUAAACUUUCAUACUUGGACCUGUGAUUUUUUUAGUA